ACCGAGUAGUCGUGGGAUAUCUAAGCUGCUAUAGUUUUCUAGGUAGCCUUUAGGAUUUUAUUUGUUUUUUCUUAUAGCUCUUGUUUUGCUUGAACUCCUUCGACCUUUGCUAGUUGUUUAUAAACAUGUUUUCCUUCGCUUUUCUUCAUCUUCGCUUCAUUUGUUCAUGCCCUAACCUUUAGACUUGAUAGACCAGUGGCAGGCAUACUACUUUUUUAUAUGCAGACAAGCUCGC
This 235-nucleotide long non-coding RNA is filed under the name Malus domestica (apple). Its description in RNAcentral is "long non-coding RNA (MDOM_LNC010582)". The record is from RNAcentral. Lineage: Eukaryota; Viridiplantae; Streptophyta; Magnoliopsida; Rosales; Rosaceae.